RNAcentral lists this long non-coding RNA (1405 nucleotides) under Homo sapiens (human). RNAcentral's name for it is "HSALNT0213604". Lineage: Eukaryota; Metazoa; Chordata; Mammalia; Primates; Hominidae. The record is from RNAcentral.
UGGCCAGCAGACUUAGAAUUCUGGUGCUAUUGACCAGGCUCCACAUGAAGACUGGACAGCAGGAAAAAGCUAUCACAGCUGAGGAAAGCUGCAUGUUGAACAGAUGACUUAAACUCCUAUUUUCUGAUUCCAAGCUCACCAAAACAACUUUCUGAUUAUAAUUUAGCUUCUCUACAAAAAGGAAAAGUACAAGUGCAAGUCAUGCUGACAGGAGAGCUCAGGUCUUCUGAGAUUUUAUUUCUUAUUCUACAUUAGUAAACUGACAUUAUGGUUUUCUACAUCAGUGUCUUGUAGCUUGACUAAUGCUGGAUCAAUGCCUGGGAGGUAAAGCCACUCUUGAUGUGCUGGUCAAAACUGCUGAUCAGGAUUCUGACUCUGCAAGGUUGCUGUCCAGGCUGAAACCAUGAAGAAGUCAUCAUGGCAAACACACAAAACUGUAUCUCAAAACUGCAGGAUAUCAGGCCGGGAGACAUGGCUCACACCUGUAAUCCCAGCACUUUGGAAGGCCGAGGCGGGUGGAUCGCCUUAGGUCAGGAAUUCAAGACCAGCCUGGCCAACAUGGCGAAACCCCGCCUCUACUAGAAACACAAAAAAUAGCCAGGUAUGCUGUAAUCCCAGCUACUCAGGAGACAGGCAGGAGAAUUCCUUGAACCCGGGAGGCGGAGGCUGCAGUGAACUGAGAUCGCGUCACUGCACUCCAGCCUAGGUGGCAGAGUGAGACUCCUCCAUUUCAAACAAACAAACAAAAAACCUGCAGGAUAUCAGCCUGGUACUUGCCAUCUGCCAGCUGAGUCACUUUGGGCAAGCUUAAAAACUUCUGGAGUAUCUGUUACUUUGUUGGUAAAGGAAAAUUUACUAGAUUAUAUAAAAAGCCCUUCCAAGGCCAAAGUUUAGACCUAAACAACCAGGAUUUUAUUGUCCACAAUGGAGUGUUCUCUUUGAAUGCUAGGUUGACUGCAAUAGCUUUCUCUUUGCCUUGCCUGAAUUCAGUAAAGUUCUCUUCACUGUAUCCCCUAGAUGAUCCUAGAACAAUCUUAAUAAGACUUAAAUCUGACCAUGUUACACCCUUGCUCAGAAGGCUUUCAAUGAAGGAUCCCUCCAUUGCCUUCGGAAUAAAGAUGAACAUUUCCUACUCGGCAUACAAGGUUCUUUACAACCUCGUUCUUGCUUUUCUUCUCUCCUUUGCCCCAUGUCUCCUCUACACAAAUAUUUUGUGCCUUGGUCUUAAGAAACUAUGUUCAGCUAAGGAUGGCUCCCAGAUAUCUAGUUUUGAUACCCUGAUAUGUGAUAAGAGUUAUCUUUUGGGCAUGUAGAUUUAGAGUUGAUUAUGAAAUAUCCAGUUAGAAAUGUCAGGCAAGCAAUGAGCUAUGUGUGCCUAAUGCUCAUGGGAAAUUCUGCACAAAAG